AUGGGUAGAAAGUGCUUUUUUACA
RNAcentral lists this microRNA (24 nucleotides) under Mesocestoides corti. Its description in RNAcentral is "mco-miR-277-3p". Its record names the gene mco-miR-277-3p. Lineage: Eukaryota; Metazoa; Platyhelminthes; Cestoda; Cyclophyllidea; Mesocestoididae. The record is from miRBase by way of RNAcentral.